Molecule: long non-coding RNA, 908 nt
Organism: Girardinichthys multiradiatus
Lineage: Eukaryota; Metazoa; Chordata; Actinopteri; Cyprinodontiformes; Goodeidae
Exons: 2
Source: RefSeq, a predicted model, not a curated record
CCACUCUUUGCAUGCUAACGUAAAACUUCCAAAAAGAAGUGUCUAUUUUAAUCAUCACAUUAUUGAUCACAACAUUAUGUUACAUUUAAAGUGGCUUUAAAUUGUUAGGAUGCAUAUUUGUGUGUCCUGCUGAAGCUCUGAUAGAUGGAGGGAUCAAUUUUAGGCCAAAUCCUGUAGAGAUGCUUUAGUUUAGUUCAUCUGACAUAUAAGGAGUAAUCAUUUAGCUCAGUUCCUGUGUCCUCUUGCAUGUUUGUGUUCAUGUGUCUGUCUUCGACCUUCAUGCCUAUUGGGUUGGGGGGGGGCAGAGGGUCAAUCUUGUUAACCUCUGCAUUGAAGACACAUCAUCAGCACACAAACACACACCCUGAUCCUGCAGGCAGAGCGUGGCUUUCAUCGCCCAGCAAACAUCAGAUCUGGCAGCAGAUCAACCGUCUCUCCCUCAUUAGCUUCACAUGUUUCUUUCCAUCGUUUUCCUGUUGGUCCGUCUGAAGAGAGGUGGUGGCAACAGGGGGAUGGAUUUUCCUCCUGACAGAUGGGAUAAGCACAGACUCGGUUUUAGAGCUGAUGUUCAUGGAGGCGACUUCAGCCUGAUUCAUUAUCCAGGUGUCUGAGCUCCAUCCACGCGUCGGGAAGAAGGCCUGUCACGGCGGAAACAUCCAGAACAUUGCAGCACAGAGAGAAGAUCAAAACCACAACGCGUGUUCAGGAUGUCAGGAUGCUGGAUGGGAAUCAGUGCUAGCGGCUGCAAGGAGGGAUCGGCGGUCAGGGUUUGGAUUUGUUAAAAGCUUCCCUGAGAAUUUAGCUGGUUGAAGAAAAGGGAACUGUCAGGUGCAAGAACCAGGUGAUCUGGAUCAGGGACGUCUUGCAAUAAUAAACCUGAGUUUAUUGAGUCAAAACUGAUGCAUCAU